AUUGAACGCUGGCGGCAGGCCUAACACAUGCAAGUCGAGCGGAUGAAGGGAGCUUGCUCCUGGAUUCAGCGGCGGACGGGUGAGUAAUGCCUAGGAAUCUGCCUGGUAGUGGGGGAUAACGUCCGGAAACGGGCGCUAAUACCGCAUACGUCCUGAGGGAGAAAGUGGGGGAUCUUCGGACCUCACGCUAUCAGAUGAGCCUAGGUCGGAUUAGCUAGUUGGUGGGGUAAAGGCCUACCAAGGCGACGAUCCGUAACUGGUCUGAGAGGGUGAUCAGUCACACUGGAACUGAGACACGGUCCAGACUCCUACGGGAGGCAGCAGUGGGGAAUAUUGGACAAUGGGCGAAAGCCUGAUCCAGCCAUGCCGCGUGUGUGAAGAAGGUCUUCGGAUUGUAAAGCACUUUAAGUUGGGAGGAAGGGCAGUAAGUUAAUACCUUGCUGUUUUGACGUUACCAACAGGAUAAGCACCGGCUAACUUCGUG
This 484-nucleotide ribosomal RNA is filed under the name uncultured bacterium. RNAcentral's name for it is "partial 16S ribosomal RNA". It matches the Rfam family "Bacterial small subunit ribosomal RNA", at positions 30 to 507 of the family's 1533-position model. The record is from RNAcentral.